Molecule: unclassified non-coding RNA, 376 nt
Filed under: soil metagenome
Description: partial contains 5.8S ribosomal RNA, internal transcribed spacer 2, and large subunit ribosomal RNA
Rfam family: 5.8S ribosomal RNA (bases 1-120)
Source: RNAcentral
GAUGAAGAACGUAGCGAAAUGCGAUAAGUAAUGUGAAUUGCAGAAUUCAGUGAAUCAUCGAAUCUUUGAACGCAUCUUGCGCUCCUUGGUAUUCUGAGGAGCAUGCCUGUUUGAGUGUCAUUAAAUUCUCAACUACACUGACUUUGAAUUGGUGUGGCUUGGAUUUGGGGGGAAAAUUGUUGUGGGCUUUUUGUAUAGUCUGCUCCCCUGAAAUUGAUUAGCGGUACAUUUGUGGAACUGUCUACAGGUGUGAUAAUUAUCUACAUCUUAGACAUCUGCUGGAAUGCUGCUUUCUAAACCUUACUUGUAUUGACAAUCUUGACCUCAAAUCAGGUAGGACUACCCGCUGAACUUAAGCAUAUCAAUAAGCGGAGGA